This 305-nucleotide ribosomal RNA is filed under the name uncultured bacterium. Its description in RNAcentral is "bacterial SSU rRNA". It matches the Rfam family "Bacterial small subunit ribosomal RNA", at positions 337 to 640 of the family's 1533-position model. The record is from RNAcentral.
ACCUACGGGGGGCAGCAGUGAGGAAUAUUGGUCAAUGGGCGGGAGCCUGAACCAGCCAAGCCGCGUGAGGGAAGAAGGUACAGCGUAUCGUAAACCUCUUUUGUCAGGGAACAAAGGCGGGGACUAGUCCCCGGAUGAGGGUACCUGAAGAAAAAGCAUCGGCUAACUCCGUGCCAGCAGCCGCGGUAAUACGGAGGAUGCGAGCGUUAUCCGGAUUUAUUGGGUUUAAAGGGUGCGCAGGCGGCCGGUUAAGUCAGCGGUAAAACCCCGGGGCUCAACCCCGUCGAGCCGUUGAAACUGGCGGG